RNAcentral lists this ribosomal RNA (305 nucleotides) under uncultured bacterium. Its description in RNAcentral is "bacterial SSU rRNA". It matches the Rfam family "Bacterial small subunit ribosomal RNA", at positions 333 to 636 of the family's 1533-position model. The record is from RNAcentral.
UCGGUCCUACGGGAGGCAGCAGUGAGGAAUAUUGGUCAAUGGGCGAGAGCCUGAACCAGCCAAGUCGCGUGAGGGACGACGGCCCUACGGGUUGUAAACCUCUUUUGCCGGGGGACAAACGGCGGCACGCGUGCCGUCCUGAGGGUACCCGGAGAAAAAGCAUCGGCUAACUCCGUGCCAGCAGCCGCGGUAAUACGGAGGAUGCGAGCGUUAUCCGGAUUUAUUGGGUUUAAAGGGUGCGCAGGCGGAAGAUCAAGUCAGCGGUAAAAUUGAGAGGCUCAACCUCUUCGAGCCGUUGAAACUGG